Molecule: ribosomal RNA, 253 nt
Filed under: uncultured bacterium
Lineage: Bacteria
Description: partial 16S ribosomal RNA
Rfam family: Bacterial small subunit ribosomal RNA
Source: RNAcentral
UACGUAGGGUGCAAGCGUUGUCCGGAAUUAUUGGGCGUAAAGAGCUCGUAGGCGGUCUGUCACGUCGGCUGUGAAAACCUGGGGCUCAACCCCGGGCCUGCAGCCGAUACGGGCAGACUAGAAUUCGGUAGGGGAGACUGGAAUUCCUGGUGUAGCGGUGGAAUGCGCAGAUAUCAGGAGGAACACCGGUGGCGAAGGCGGGUCUCUGGGCCGACAUUGACGCUGAGGAGCGAAAGCGUGGGGAGCGAACAGG